Long non-coding RNA from Balaenoptera acutorostrata (minke whale), 3077 nucleotides. RefSeq lists it as uncharacterized. Lineage: Eukaryota; Metazoa; Chordata; Mammalia; Artiodactyla; Balaenopteridae. The transcript has 5 exons. The record is from RefSeq and is a predicted model, not a curated record.
GAUUCUUAUCCACUGCGCCACCACGGAAGCCCCGCUUUCUAUCUCCUAAGUCUCAAGAGGUCCCAGAUUUCGACCAGAGCUGGAGACAACCACACACUCUCCCUGGUGAUGAGAUGAUUCAGCAUCCUCCAGAGAUGCUGGACCUUGAGCUCGAUGCCACUUCAGGACUUCAGCUGGUUUCCUGUGGAAGAGGUGUCAAUUGCAGAUAAGCAUGAAUAUAAAAGUAAAAGAAGGCAAGCAGGAAGAAGACGUAUUUGUUCUGUGCAGACUGGAUUCAGGGACCGUGGAAUACCCCAAGGAAGGCAAGUGGAAUCACCAUGAGGACCAGGCAACUGCUGUUCUCCUCAUGAACAAUAAAGGACUUUCAUAUUAUUGUUGUGUAGCACUUUAGCGACAUCCUGUGUUACCCCUCCUCCUCAGAGACAGCCCCCAGAGGAGCCUUUUGGAUAACUUCCUGAUUCUGGGACUCUACUGCUGACCAGGUGUAAAUCACAUUCCAAAACUGAGAACAAUCCCUUUAUGGCAAGAUCACAAUGAACUACGCUUUAGAUCAGCAAGCCCAGAUGAGACAACUGAGCAACAGAACAGUCGAUUGCUCGGCGGGAUUUGAAGCCAGAGGGGUCUGACUCAAAAAUCCCUAACUCUUGACUUUAGGACACUCUCUAUUAUUCUAAGGCAGGUUCUGUCCGAACUGCCUACACAUUCAUACAAUGUAUACAAACGACAAACAUCUAAAAGGGCUUGUGAAGUAAAAUUCGUAUUUUAUGGCAAGACAAGAGAAAUUUAAACAUAAGAAAUUUUCUCUGCCCUUUGGCCUCCUCUCUCCCCGCACUGUGCGUUGUGUAUCUGCAUUAGGCAUCGACCAAACCUCUCCCAUCGGCAGAAAUACCUGCUCGACCAUGAAGAGACGCAUCCUCUUAGCAUCAAUAAGACAACUCCUUAAAAGAUAACAUUCCUGGGCUUCCCUGGUGGCGCAGUGGUUGAGAAUCUGCCUGCCAAUGCAGGGGACACGGGUUCGAGCCCUGGUCUGGGAAGAUCCCACAUGCCGCGGAGCAACUAGGCCCAUGAGCCACAAUUACUGAGCCUGCGCGUCUGGAGCCUGUGCUCCGCAACAAGAGAGGCGGCGAUAGUGAGAGGCCCGCGCGCCGUGGUGAAGAGCGGCCCCCGCUCGCCGCAACUAGAGAAAGCCCUCACACAGAAACGAAGACCCAACACAGCCAUAAAUAAAUAAAUUUAAAAAAUUAAAAAAAAAAAAGAUAACAUUCCUUCCUGAUCUUGUAAGGGGUCACAUGACCCACCACGAUGACGCUUAGAUCUGGAUUAUGUGAACUGUCAAUAAUACAUCAUUUGAUGUACAGCCCUCUGUCUCAAAAAACUUAUAUAAAGGACGAACAGUUCUCAGAGCUUUCGGAGAAGCUCUUCUUGGGUCAUAAUCUUCAAAUUUGGCUGGAAUAAAAUUUUCCAUUUCUUUCUUAGAUCGAGGGAUUAAUUUUUCAUCGACAGGCUAAAACACAAGGAGAAAUCAUAAGCCCUCUAACGUAUGAUUUGCCACAUCUGUGGCUAAAAGAAGCCUCUUCCAGAAUUGUGUGUGUCGGGGGGAGGAUCAUUUCUAAAUCUCAUCACCCGUUACACUUCCUCACCUGGCUCUUUCUCAGAGUCGGGAACUACAUGCCUCACUGCAGCAACGCCUCCAUUCUGGGCUCAAAAGAGGGAACCUUGAGGGAACGGGGCAUUUGCCUGUUUCAGACUCUUGAGGAAGAUCUCUGACAUUCAUUUUCCCUUUCUAAGUGCUUCUACUGAGGUCUGGGAAUGAAAAGCCCCAGGCUUCCCUGAAGUGUCACAGAGUUAGUCAGCCCUUCCUGAAAGCAAAAGGUACUCCCAUUGAAGAGUCACUAGGCGGAAUCACCUGCUAUUAGCACUUUCUACAAGGAAGUGGCUGCAGACAAGUGUCUUCAUUUGCAGAAACCACUGGUGUUUGUUUUGGAGACUGCUUUCUCCAGAAACUCUGAGGAAACUAGCCUUGGACUAAACACUCUCUAACAACCUGUUACAGUUUCUGGUACACUGACUUCCUGACUUGGGAGCUGUGGUUUUGAUGCCUUUUUUAACGUUGAAAUCGGAGUGACAAAGUGGUCACAUGUUUCCAUCUUGCAAAGUUAUUUCCCAUGAAUGGAACAAUGCUACCCUUUACUUGCUUCUUACCUUAGAGACUAAGAUUUGAUAACCUUAUGGGAAAGUUCAUCACCCAUAAAUUUUGGAUGUGUGAUGGUGAUUUCUGGUUUCAUUAGACACUGACAGAAAUUAGAAUAAUGUUUUUUUUAGAGCCUGGAAGUAUAUUUAAACUAUAACAGUGUCGGCUUUGUAGGCUGUCCAUCUCCAAUUAAAGUCAUAUAUUUUAUAUUCUGACAUCCAAGUACUAUGGUUAAGUACCAAAGCUGGUACUGUGUCUCAUUCUGUGAAAGACUUGAGUCAGCUUGCAAAAUUGCAAGGGAAAAAUUUUGAUUGGAAUAUAAGAUUGAACUUGUGGGGAGAGUAAGAAAACAGCCUCGUGACUGAUGGGGGUGGGAAAUGUGUCUUGACUGAAAGCCUGUGCCCUGCAACAAGAGAGGCCGCGACAGUGAAAGGCCUGUGCACCACGAUGAAGAGUGGCCCCCACUUGCUGCAACUAGAGAAAGCCCUCGCACAGAAACGAAGACCCCACACAGCCAAAAAUAAAUAAAUAAAUGUAUAAAAAAAAAAAAGAAGAAAAGAUGGACAUACAGGAAACUGGUCAAAAAUGACCUAUGGCAGUAAAUAAAAGUUUCAGAAUUGAAAGCAGUGACUUGAAGAGAUAUUUGUACAUCCAUGUUCAUAGUGGCAUUGUCCUCAGCAGCCAAAAGCAACUCAAGUGUCCCUGAAUAGAUAAAUGGAUGAAUGGAUAAUCAAAAUGUGGUCCUUGCACACAAUGAGAUAUUACUCAGCCUUUCAAAGGAAGGAAAUUUUGACAAAUGCUACAACAUGAGCAAACCUUGACGUGCUAAGUGCAAUAAAUCAGUCAUGAAAGAACAAACACUGUAUGAUUUCACCUAUAUGAGUAA